RNAcentral lists this long non-coding RNA (960 nucleotides) under Bos taurus (domestic cattle). RNAcentral describes it as "long non-coding RNA NONBTAT026992". The record is from RNAcentral. Lineage: Eukaryota; Metazoa; Chordata; Mammalia; Artiodactyla; Bovidae.
GUCCUUGGCAUUGAUUUAUUGACCCAAAGGGGAGGUUCUUUGAAGGAGAAUUGCAAACAUAAAUAACAGAUUCUAUAUUUACCCAGCGAAUUUAGAAAAUUUAUAUAAAGAUAUGGAGGUCAAGGUACCUGGUUCUUAGGAAGGAAUUCAUAAAGGAUACAGUUUAAAAACAAAGCUAAAAGAUGAUUAUUAAAAAAUUAAUGUGGAGUCAUCAUAUUCCUUAAUGAGAAAAAACUAAAAUUCUUCAUAUCAUAAAAUUUUACUAUGACUUAAACAGGGAGAAUGACUCAAGACAAUCCCACGAAUAUUUAAAACCAACAUAAUGCUUUUUGAUGCAUUUCUAUAUACCAGAACCAUCAUUUUUAUAUAUACUUAAAAAAACACAUUAAAAUGGUUAGAGCACAGAGGCAACUGUAAGGCAUAUCAAUGUGAUUUUAUUCACAACACAAAUUCCAUUUGUGAGAAAGAAGCAUAGAUUACUCCUCUUUAGAAAGAUAUUUACUAUCAAGCAUACUUAGCAAAUUAUUUAGCUAUCUAAAAAGAUCUGAUACCAAUUGCCAUAAGGGACCCAGUUACAUAGUAUUAAAUAAUAUCUGAAACUAUUUUGAAAGACAACCAGACAAAAUACUUUUUCCAAAGUGAAAACCACAGCCUAUAGAUUUGGAAAAUUUUACAGAAAAGAAUAGCUCAUGCCUGUCCUAUGAGGCAACACCAUUUGUAUACAAGUGCCAAGAAGUAAGGAGAAAGUUAGGAUUUUAGCUGAGGAAUCUACUAAAGCCUGGCAUGUGGCAUUUUCUUCAUUAGUGCCACUGAAAGCAGUCUCUGUGUUGCACCUGAAUACACUUUAUAAUAGAAUAAACAUAGUAAGUUUCAGAGCAGGUUGUAGAUACCUUGCCUUAAUAGAUUACACUUAAUGUAGUACAAUACAGCACGUCAAAUUUUAAAAAUGCAAAAAUACAC